This 253-nucleotide ribosomal RNA is filed under the name uncultured bacterium. RNAcentral's name for it is "partial 16S ribosomal RNA". It matches the Rfam family "Bacterial small subunit ribosomal RNA", at positions 524 to 776 of the family's 1533-position model. The record is from RNAcentral.
UACGUAGGGUGCGAGCGUUGCCCGGAUUUAUUGGGCGUAAAGGGCGCGUAGGCGGUGCCGUACGUCCGUUGUGAAAUCGCUCGGCUCAACUGGGCGGGGUCAGCGGAUACGGUGGCACUUGAGCAAGCUAGGGGGCAAUGGAAUUCCCGGUGUAGUGGUGGAAUGCGUAGAUAUCGGGAGGAACACCAGUGGCGAAGGCGGUUGCCUGGGCCAAUACUGACGCUGAGGAGCGAAAGCGUGGGGAGCGAACAGG